Zingiber officinale is the source of this 2335-nucleotide RNA transcript. It is a transcript of the gene named GTP-binding protein BRASSINAZOLE INSENSITIVE PALE GREEN 2, chloroplastic-like, with no coding region annotated. The transcript is spliced from 4 exons. The record is from RefSeq and is a predicted model, not a curated record. NCBI's taxonomy places the organism in Eukaryota, Viridiplantae, Streptophyta, Magnoliopsida, Zingiberales, Zingiberaceae.
UAUAAUACCUCGCUUCCAGCGGCACGUUCUGCUGCAUCCCCGAUAGGAUAACACCAGCAGAGUAGGCGAAAUCCGAGCUCGACAAUGGCGGGAUCGAUGGCUUCGGCCCUAUGUAUCUUCUUCAAAGUACACGGAAGCUGUCAUAAAGGUCAUCUCUUAUUUCCCACUUCUUCUCCUUCUUCUUCAUUCUCUUUGCCCUCACUUCGAUUCUCCACUUGGGGAACCCACCGUUCCCCUUGCUCUCCCUCCGCUUCCACCAAACCUUUGAUUCCGAAAGGCCCCGUGUUUAGCGAAGGGAGGGACGAAGAUGAGCGACGCCUGGUCUGCCCCGGAUGCGGUAUCUUCAUGCAGGACGCCAACCCCAAUCUUCCCGGCUAUUAUCGCAAGAAGGUCCCUACCCUCCGAGAGGAUGAGUUUGAUGACCUCUCCUACGAUUCAGAUGACUUUGUGGAGGGAGAGAUCGGAGGGUUGUCGUCAAAUUUGGACCUUGAAUUCGAAAGUGAUGACCUUUCUGAUGCGGAUUUGAUGGAAGGAGCGACGGAAGGUGACGAACUGGAUACGGGGAUCGAUUGGGAGUCUGACUGGGAUAUGAAGUUAGACGACGAAGAGGAGAAUUUAAGGAAGGAGUUGGACGGGUUCGCCCCAGCGGGCGUUGGCUACGGGAACAUUACAGAGGAGACGCUGGCGAAGUUCAAAAAGGAGAAGAUUUCCAAGUCGGAGAAGAAACGGAAGACUAGAGAGGCUAGAAAAAGAGAAACGGAGGAGGAUUCCGUCACAGUGUGCGCUCGUUGCCACUCUUUGAGAAACUAUGGCCAAGUGAAGAACGAGAAGGCGGAGAACUUGAUCCCUGACUUCGAUUUUGACCGACUGGUCGCGAGCCGCUUGAUGAGACCUGCAACAAGUGCCCCCGUGGUGGUUAUGGUGGUCGACUGUGUGGACUUUGAUGGUUCCUUCCCUAAAAGGUCAGUGAAAUCCUUGUUCAAAGUAUUGGAAGGAAGCAAAAAUGAGCACAAGAUAUCCAAAUUGCCCAAGCUUGUGCUCGUUGCAACCAAGGUGGACCUUCUUCCUUCACAAGUAUCGCCGACAAGGUUGGAUAGGUGGGUUCGGAACAGGGCCAAGGCUGCAGGGGCUCCUAAGCUUAAUGCAGUUUAUCUGGUGAGCGCUCGAAAAGAUCUUGGAGUGAGGAACUUGAUAUCCUACAUCAAGCAACUUGCAGGACCCCGUGGGAAUGUGUGGGUGAUUGGGGCUCAGAAUGCUGGGAAAUCCACUCUGAUAAAUGCGUUUGCUAAGCGAGAAGGUGUGAAGACUACAAGGCUUACCGAGGCUGCUGUUCCAGGGACUACAUUAGGCAUUCUGAGAAUUCCAAGCAUCUUGCCCUCAAAAGCAAAGAUGUAUGAUACUCCAGGUCUUUUGCACCCAUACCUAAUGUCAAUGAGAUUGACUCGGGAAGAGCAAAAGAUGGUCGAGAUCAGGAAGGAGCUACAGCUUCGAACCUUUAGGAUGAAGGAGACACACUUGCUGGCAUGAGAGGAAAACGACCAAGUUGUGAAUAGGCUUGAACUAUAGAGAUUAACACAGAUAGGAGCAGCAGACAUCUACAUGUUGGGCAGACUGUUCAUGUUGGUGGUCUGAUGAGGCUCGAUUUGACCCAGGCCUCUGUGGAGACGAUCUACGUUUCUGUUUUGGCAUCACCUAAUGUCUCCCUUCAUAUGGGGAAGACGGAAAAUGCUGAUGAGCUAAGAACAAAUCAUUUUGGCAUAAGGCUCCAGGUGAGUUUUUCUGAUAUCUAGAUUUUGUUACAAUAAAUCUUCUGUGUGCUGCUACUACUACUAUGUCCUUGUGCAUCCAAACAUUGUCUUUCUUCAAAUUUUAAAUAGCAGGCAAAAACACUUUGCAUCCAUAGUUUACAAACUCGUCAUUUAGCCAUUUAAAGAAAUGAAGGUAUCAGGAACCAGUUGGGAUGUGAACAGCAUAGACAUUGCAGCAUCUGGCCUUGGAUGGUAUUCACUGGGGCUGAAAGGGAACGCAACUGUGGUGCUGUGGACUUUUAACGGUAUCGAAGUAACGCAGAGAGAGCCAUUGGUUCUCGAUAGAGCUCCCUUUCUGGAAAGGCCCGGAUUCUUGUUACCAAAGGCAAUAUCUGAUGCAAUUGGAAACCAGAGCAAGAUGCAGGCGGAGAAAAAGAAGGAAAAAGAUUUUCUUCUAAAUGCUAGCGUCUGACUUUAUUUGUGAUUGUGUUCCUGUGGCUUCCUUCAUUAUCUUUCAGCAUUCUUCCAUUAUGGAAAUCCUCUUACAACAAUGAUGGUGCACAGAAGAGAACAAUAACGUUGAACUA